AGGGAGGCGCGCGAGGGGUGCCUGCGGCGGCCGCGUGCUCCCGCGAGGGGGCGUGUCCUUCCGCGGCCAGCUGGGUCCCUGAGUGUCCAGAUCCACGCGCGGGCUGGAGAGCGCGCCCGGCUGUGAAGAGGGAUGGAGAUGGAGCCUCAUGACAAAAAUGAAAGUGAACAUGAUGUGGGAAAUAUAAAGAAGAGAUCCCCAAGAUAAGGAUUCUGGAGCAGAAAGAGAAUGAAUGAGAGAGAGUCAGAGUGAGGGAGACACAGAAUCCGAAACAGGCUCCAGGCUCUGAGCUGUCAGCACAGAGCCCGACGCGGGGCUCGAACUCACGGGCCGCGAGAUCAUGACCUGAGCCGAAGUCGGACACUUAACCGACUGAGCCACCCAGGCGCCCCUCAGGAUGCAUGACAAUCAAGUGUGCUCUUCAAUCCCCUUCAAGUUUUGGACCUGUUGUGUAAUUCCUACAGCACAUAAUCAAAGUGCUAUUUGAUCUAACUGGUUUGGGGUCUAUAUAUAAUGAUCCCCUUGGAGGAGUCCCCAGAUGUUUUCCAAAUCAUUCAUUCCGUUGAUUCAGUACAAUUUAUUGGGUGUGUGUGUGCCAGGUACUAGUUAUGCAAUGAUGACUAAGAUAGUCCCUAUUCUCUGUCAGCUUCUUAUAGUAAAGUCUGUGAACUGACCACACAGAUGACCUGCAGAAGUCUGCUGCAGAUUCUCCUGCCCUAUUCCAGACCUCCUGAACCCAAAUCUCAGAGGCAAGGGAUUCUGCACUUUGAAGAUGUUCCCUAGGUACUGUUGCUUUAGGAGUUCAUAAUCUUUUAAAACACUUGAGAUAGUGGGAGAUCGGGAGGGGACAGAGACUUGGGGGGAGGGAAAGUAUGGCCAAAUAGGAAAACAAACAAAUACACUACGGUGUGGUAAGUGCUAAAAUAGAGGUAUACAGGCAAAGCGCUGAGAAUAUAUGAGGAGGAGUUAAGCCUAACUGCAUAAUGUCAGAGGAGAGAAUUGCCAACAGGAGAUUUCUUAAAGUACCUAGAAUUAUUAUUCUUUAGCAUGUUAAGAAACUCACUUGUCUACUUGGAGUACAACUAAAAAAACGCAAUUACUUUUUGAAAAUGAAUUCCCAAUUAAAGAUGAUCUUGAAAAUCAUGUUCAGAGAUCCA
This is a long non-coding RNA of Leopardus geoffroyi (Geoffroy's cat), 1157 nucleotides long. RefSeq lists it as uncharacterized. The transcript has 4 exons. NCBI's taxonomy places the organism in Eukaryota, Metazoa, Chordata, Mammalia, Carnivora, Felidae. The record is from RefSeq and is a predicted model, not a curated record.